AACUUUCUGUACAAAACUGUUUUUCACACACUUUUCUUAUAAACUCAUAGUUUGAUGUAAGUAAUCACAGCUGUCAUUUUUUCCAUUCUUAUUUCAAGAGCUUUAUGUAAUUUUAAAAAUAAAUGUUUAAAUGAACAUAACCAUUAAUGUUGCUCCUCCAUCUUUGUUCUCUCAUCUGUUAUUCUGAAACUGUUCAUACUGUCUAUAGUUUCACCUGUAAAUGUUUAAUACAUAAUACUCAUAAGAAUAGCAUUUCUUAUUUUUAUUUUAACUAUGUAAUAUGUUGUUGUGUUCAUCACCUCCCCAGCACCUGGAAUCAACAGCCCGUGUUCUACUCAAUAUGUAAAUGUGGAGAUUUCACAAUCGGUUAGUUCUGAGUCUAUUAUUAAUAGACUCAGAACUAAAACCUUUAGCAAAGUCAUGAGAAGCCAUGUAAAAUCGUUGUGAUAACACAUGUAAACUGAUCUGAGAUAUUUAAAUGUGCACUCUGUUUCUCUUACUGGCAUAAGCGCACCUCACACCUGGUGUCUGCAAUGCACCGUUGCUCUUGGCUCUGUUUCACUUCUGCAUUUUGGUACUUUUUUGGGAUCUGGGUGUUACUCAAUGCUUCCGCUUGCUGCUAGCUGUGAUCACUCUGCCCUGUCAUUCUGCGGCAUCUGUGCAACAGACUUCCAGCCCCAUCGCCUCCAUCUCCACCUGACUUUAUAACACCAGACACUGUAAAAGUACAACUCUGCCAUCUAGCCGAAAUACAGAGACAUUACACUUAGAAUUGUUUACAAAAUCUGAAGGACUGCGGGUUGUCUCUCCAAACAUCACAUUACAUCCUGUGUGGGAAGGUGAAAUCGGGGCCUCACCUGUCAGACUCCUCUGCACCCUAAGUGGCUUCUUUCCAGACCAACUGAGUGUGAUGUGGCAACGGGACAACCAAUCUCUAAACAUUGUGCAAACCCAAAGGAAGCUGCAGAGUGUGAAGGGAGUGGAGAAAACCUUCAGUCUAAGCAGUGAGAUUGAGCCAAAUAUGAAACAGUGGACAGGUGGCUCAAAUUUUACAUGCUGGUCCACUCAUAUCGACAGUGAAUUUCAUAAAACAAUAAGUAUUUGUCAAACACAGACAAGCGCCCCUCCUUCUGUUCAUGUGGAGGUUCCCAGCUUCAAGACAGUAAUGGAGUCAACGUCUGAUGUGAAGGCAACGUGUUCAGUCCGCACAGUGUUUGAUGCCAACGUGACCUGGCUGAUGGAUGGGCAACCCCCAUCCAGUAACCAAGUGAACCAGGUCACAAAUACAACUCAUUUAAUAAGCACUCUGACGGUUUCCUCGAGUCAGUGGAAACAACUGAAGCUUCUGAAAUGUAAAGUUGAACAUCGCUGCUUCUCAUCCACUGAGGAGACAAUAAAUGUUGCAGCGCCUGCAGUUACAGCUCCAUCAGUGGAGAUCAGGAGAUCUCUCCCAGAUUUGCUGAAGGGAAACAGUUCUGUGCUGGAGUGUGACGUCACACAACUCUCCUCCAGUGACCUCUACAUCACCUUUCAGGCCAACAGUGUUGACAUCUCUGACAAACAGUAUGUUGAUCUUCCCGAAGCCCCAGGCCUCCAUUCAGUCAGUAGACGCUUCACUGUCCCUCCAAACUACUGGAAGAGAGACACAAGUUUCACCUGCAAAGUGAAUCAAGGUUUCUCCAGCAGCUUCAAGUCAAACCCCACUGGCAAUAUUUUUGUGGACCCAUCAGUGGAGCUCCUUCUGGUCCCCAAUAAAGAGUCAGGACCACAGAGGAUCUUGUGCUCUGGAUGGGGCUUCAACCCUCAAAUUAAAUGGUUUCCUGAGUCUCAGCAAGCAUCUCCAUCAACGAAUGACAUCAGCAUGAGUGCAGAUGGACGUGUGGCAGUAACCAGUCAACUUCACAUCCCUCAGACAGAGUGGAAAACAGGGAAGGUCUUCACUUGUUUAGUGUCUGACAAGUCUCUGAGUAAAACAGUUGAAAAGAACAUCAGCAUCUGUUCAGUAACUCCAGCAUCAUCUCAGAUAGUUGCUGUAUAUGUUCAGGGACCACCCCUCCAGGAUCUUCAGAGAAAGGGACAGGUGACUCUCACCUGUCUUCUGGUUGGCCCUUCUCUUGAUGAUUUCUCCAUCACCUGGAAAGUAGGUGGGAACAAAUAUUCUCUUAAUGUCCAUACGGAGCCACCAGUGAGUCACAGCAAUGGGACGGAGUCUUUGCGGAGCUUCCUCAAAGUGUCAGCGGAGGAUUGGCAUGCAUAUAAACAAGUGUCUUGUGAGGGGAAGCACCGAUGUUCCAACCAGGGCUACCAGGACCAUAUAAGCAAAAGCAGAGACCUGUACCCACCAACAGUGAAAAUAUUACAACCAACUGCCUCUGAGCUGUCUACCUCAGAUGUGCUCACACUUAUUUGUCUAGUUUCUGGAUUUUUCCCGUCUAACAUCAUGGUGUACUGGGAGGAGAAUGGCCAGAGACUCCUUUCAGCUCGCUACACCAACAGUCCUGCCUGGAAAUACACAGAGAGCAGCGCUUAUUCAAUGAGCAGCAGACUAAACACAUCCAAAACUGAGGACAAGGAGUCUACAUAUUCUUGUGUUGUCAGACAUGAGUCCUCUGAAACGCCGUUUGAAAGCACUAUAAAGGAUGUUUUUGCCACAGUGACCUACAGCCAACCUUCAGCCACCUUGCUCCAGGGCUCUGGUGAACUUGUGUGCCUGGUCUUCGGCUUCAGCCCUGCAUCUAUUAGCAUCACUUGGUUUUCUGGUGACACCAAGGAACUGUUGGACUACAACACUAGUGAACCCAUCAGAGGCCCAAAUGGAAAGUUCAGCAUCCAAAGCCACCUUCGUCUGUCCCAUGGCAACUGGUUCCCUGGGGCAGUCCUCACCUGCAGGGUGACACAUGAGAACACCACCCAAUCCCUGAAUAUAUCUAAACCAGGCACGUUGGAGGGCUGUCAUUUCUUAGAUGAGAUUAUGCAUGCUGAUGUGAACCAAGACACAGAUGUGGAAAGCUGGUAUAUGGCUUUCACUUUCCUCUUUUUUUUCCUCAUCUCCGUCAUCUAUGGUGUCUUGGCUACUGUGAUUAAGACUAAAUGAUGAUGACUCCAGGACAGAUUAAUGAUCCAAAUGGGAACAUUUGAGGAUUUUUGAUGGUCUUACUUGAUGUAAACUGUAAUUAAUUAAUUUUUCUUUUUACAUUUGUAUAAUAUUUUAGAAAUGAUUCAUACUGUAUUAAUUUCUUUUUUGUUUCAGUCACUUUGAGAUUCAAAUACAAGUGUAACAAAUAUUCUGUCACUGGACUCAUUCACGCAUUCAGCAAAAUAAAGAUUUAAAUUUGGAAAACAAA
Micropterus salmoides (largemouth bass) is the source of this 3344-nucleotide non-coding RNA. The record is from the annotation of a RefSeq genome assembly. NCBI's taxonomy places the organism in Eukaryota, Metazoa, Chordata, Actinopteri, Centrarchiformes, Centrarchidae.